RNAcentral lists this ribosomal RNA (492 nucleotides) under uncultured bacterium. RNAcentral's name for it is "partial 16S ribosomal RNA". It matches the Rfam family "Bacterial small subunit ribosomal RNA", at positions 29 to 507 of the family's 1533-position model. The record is from RNAcentral.
AGUGAACGCUGGCGGUAGGCCUAACACAUGCAAGUCGAACGGCAGCACAGUAAGAGCUUGCUCUUACGGGAGGCGAGUGGCGGACGGGUGAGGAAUACAUCGGAAUCUACUUUUUCGUGGGGGAUAACGUAGGGAAACUUACGCUAAUACCGCAUACGACCUACGGGUGAAAGCAGGGGAUCUUCGGACCUUGCGCGAUUGAAUGAGCCGAUGUCGGCUUAGCUAGUUGGCGGGGUAAAGGCCCACCAAGGCGACGAUCCGUAGCUGGUCUGAGAGGGUGAUCAGCCACACUGGAACUGAGACACGGUCCAGACUCCUACGGGAGGCAGCAGUGGGGAAUAUUGCACGAUGGGGGCGAGCCUGAUCCAGCCAUACCGCGUGGGUGAAGAAGGCGUUCGGGUGGUAAAACCCUUUUGUUGGGAAAGAAAAGCAGCAGGUUAAUACCCCGCUGUUCUGACGGUACCCAAAGAAGAAGCACCGGCUAACUUCGUG